UGCGUAGGCGGCCUUGCAAGUCAGAAGUGAAAGGCUACGGCUUAACCGUAGUAAGCUUUUGAAACUGUAAGGCUAGAGCGAAGGAGAGGAAAGUGGAAUUCCUAGUGUAGAGGUGAAAUUCGUAGAUAUUAGGAGGAACACCAGUGGCGAAGGCGACUUUCUGGACUUUAACUGACGCUGAUGCACGAAAGCGUGGGGAGCAAACAGGAUUAGAUACCCUGGUAGUCC
This 228-nucleotide ribosomal RNA is filed under the name uncultured bacterium. RNAcentral's name for it is "partial 16S ribosomal RNA". It matches the Rfam family "Bacterial small subunit ribosomal RNA", at positions 568 to 796 of the family's 1533-position model. The record is from RNAcentral.